RNAcentral lists this unclassified non-coding RNA (448 nucleotides) under Hevea brasiliensis (rubber tree). The record is from RNAcentral. Lineage: Eukaryota; Viridiplantae; Streptophyta; Magnoliopsida; Malpighiales; Euphorbiaceae.
GGAAUUUUCGCGGAGAGUUAGUCACCUCCUUCGAAGACCACUUGCUCUGGCACCCUGAUUGUAAUACAAACAACAUUUAUAUUACAAGCGACCAGGACCUGAUAAUAUCGUACUGCAAGGCAGUUGAAGAAGGCGAAGAUGACUGUGGAGUUUCUGCUGUUGGGUCAAUCAAUAUGAGCAAUAUCCUCACUGGGAAGUGCAUUGCCAAGAUAUGCUCGACUGACCGUGCACUUCUGGUUAGUCCUCGCAAGAAAGGCGACCCUGGCCGCUCGUCUGUACGGAGCACGGUGAAGGAAGCACUCGAAGAUGUGACAGCGCUCUUCUAUGAUGAGGAUAGGAAUGAGAUCUAUACUGGUAACAAACAAGGCCUUAUACAUGUUUGGUCGAAUUAGGUCUCUGUGCGGGUUUAACUUAUUAAGAUACAUACUCGUGAGUUCAGUUUAAGCUU